This 403-nucleotide ribosomal RNA is filed under the name uncultured bacterium. Its description in RNAcentral is "partial 16S ribosomal RNA". It matches the Rfam family "Bacterial small subunit ribosomal RNA", at positions 28 to 526 of the family's 1533-position model. The record is from RNAcentral.
GACGAACGCUGGCGGCGUGCCUAAUACAUGCAAGUCGAACGCAGUGGGGACGGGUGAGUAACACGUGGGUAACCUCCCAUCAGAGGGGAUAACACUUGGAAACCGGUGCUAAACCGAUACUGAUGGAUGAACCCGCGGUGCAUUGGCUAGUUGGUGGGGUAACGGCUCACCAAGGCCACGAUGCAUAGCCGAGCUGGGAGGGGGAUCGGGCAAACCGGGACUGAGACACGGCCCAGACUCCUAAGGGAGGCAGCAGUAGGGAAUCUUUGGCAAUGGACGAAAGUCUGAACGAGCAACGCCGCGGGAGGGAAGAAGGUGUUCGGAGCGUAAAGCUCUGUUGUUAGAGAAGCGGUACCUACCCAGAAAGGGACGGCUAACUACGUGCCAGCAGCCGCGGUAAUAC